ACGUAGGUGGCAAGCGUUGUCCGGAUUUAUUGGGCGUAAAGGGAACGCAGGCGGUCUUUUAAGUCUGAUGUGAAAGCCUUCGGCUUAACCGGAGAUGUGCAUUGGAAACUGGAAGACUUGAGUGCAGAAGAGGAGAGUGGAACUCCAUGUGUAGCGGUGAAAUGCGUAGAUAUAUGGAAGAACACCAGUGGCGAAAGCGGCUCUCUGGUCUGUAACUGACGCUGAGGUUCGAAAGCGUGGGUAGCAAACAGGAUUAGAUACCCUGGUAGUCCACGCCGUAAACGAUGAGUGCUAAGUGUUGGAGGGUUUCCGCCCUUCAGUGCUGCAGCUAACGCAUUAAGCACUCCGCCUGGGGAGUACGACCGCAAGGUUG
RNAcentral lists this ribosomal RNA (373 nucleotides) under uncultured bacterium. RNAcentral's name for it is "bacterial SSU rRNA". It matches the Rfam family "Bacterial small subunit ribosomal RNA", at positions 525 to 896 of the family's 1533-position model. The record is from RNAcentral.